UACGUAGGGGGCAAGCGUUGUCCGGAUUUAUUGGGCGUAAAGAGCGUGAAGGCGGUUUGGUAGGUCCGCUGUGAAAACUCGAGGCUCAACCUCGAGACGCCGGUGGAAACCAUCAGGCUAGAGUCCGGAAGAGGAGAGUGGAAUUCCCGGUGUAGCGGUGAAAUGCGCAGAUAUCGGGAAGAACACCCGUGGCUAAGGCGGCUCUCUAAUACGUGACUGACGCUGAGACGCGAAAGCGUGGGGAGCGAACAGG
This 253-nucleotide ribosomal RNA is filed under the name uncultured bacterium. RNAcentral describes it as "partial 16S ribosomal RNA". It matches the Rfam family "Bacterial small subunit ribosomal RNA", at positions 524 to 776 of the family's 1533-position model. The record is from RNAcentral.